This 497-nucleotide ribosomal RNA is filed under the name uncultured bacterium. RNAcentral's name for it is "partial 16S ribosomal RNA". It matches the Rfam family "Bacterial small subunit ribosomal RNA", at positions 28 to 507 of the family's 1533-position model. The record is from RNAcentral.
GAUGAACGCUGGCGGCGUGCCUAAUACAUGCAGGUCGAGCGAACAGACGAGGAGCUUGCUCCUUCGACGUUAGCGGCGGACGGGUGAGUAACACGUAGGUAACCUACCUAUAAGACUGGGAUAACUUCGGGAAACCGGAGCUAAUACCGGAUAAUAUUUCGAACCGCAUGGUUCGAUAGUGAAAGAUGGCUUUGCUAUCACUUAUAGAUGGACCUGCGCCGUAUUAGCUAGUUGGUAAGGUAACGGCUUACCAAGGCAACGAUACGUAGCCGACCUGAGAGGGUGAUCGGCCACACUGGAACUGAGACACGGUCCAGACUCCUACGGGAGGCAGCAGUAGGGAAUCUUCUGCAAUGGGCGAAAGCCUGACGGAGCAACGCCGCGUGAGUGAUGAAGGUCUUCGGAUCGUAAAACUCUGUUAUUAGGGAAGAACAAACGUGUAAGUAACUGUGCACGUCUUGACGGUACCUAAUCAGAAAGCCACGGCUAACUACGUG